RNAcentral lists this ribosomal RNA (389 nucleotides) under uncultured bacterium. Its description in RNAcentral is "bacterial SSU rRNA". It matches the Rfam family "Bacterial small subunit ribosomal RNA", at positions 28 to 416 of the family's 1533-position model. The record is from RNAcentral.
GACGAACGCUGGCGGCGUGCUUAACACAUGCAAGUCGAACGGUGAAAGCGGAGCUUGCUCCGCUGGAUCAGUGGCGAACGGGUGAGUAACACGUGGGCAACCUGCCCCUCACUUCGGGAUAACUCCGGGAAACCGGGGCUAAUACCGAAUACGACCUCCUUGGGCAUCCUUGGAGGUGGAAAGUUUUUCGGUGAGGGAUGGGCCCGCGGCCUAUCAGCUUGUUGGUGAGGUAGUGGCUCACCAAGGCGACGACGGGUAGCCGGCCUGAGAGGGCGACCGGCCACACUGGGACUGAGACACGGCCCAGACUCCUACGGGAGGCAGCAGUGGGGAAUAUUGCGCAAUGGGCGAAAGCCUGACGCAGCAACGCCGCGUGCGGGAUGAAGGCC